AGAGUUUGAUCAUGGCUCAGAACGAACGUUGGCGGCGUGGAUUAGGCAUGCAAGUCGCGGGAAUCCCCCGCAAGGGGGGGAACCGGCGUAAGGGGCAGUAAGGCGUGGGUACCUACCCCGGGGUCCGGGAUAGCCGUCCGAGAGGGCGGGUAAUACCGGAUGACCUCGGGAGAGCAAAGCUCCGGCGCCCCGGGCGGGGCCCACGUGGUAUUAGCUGGUUGGUGGGGUGACGGCCCACCAAGGCGGGGAUGCCUAGCGGGUGUGGGAGCACGACCCGCGCCACUCGCACUGAGACACUGGCGAGACACCUACGGGUGGCUGCAGUCGAGGAUCUUCGGCAAUGCGCGCAAGCGCGACCGAGCGACGCCGCGUGGGCGACGAAGGCCUUCGGGUUGUAAAGCCCUGUCGAGGGGGAGGAAACCGGGAAACCGGCUGACCCAUCCCUGGAGGAAGCUCGGGCUAAGUUCGUGCCAGCAGCCGCGGUAAGACGAACCGAGCGAACGUUGUUCGGAAUCACUGGGCUUGAAGGGCGCGUAGGCGGGCUGGACAGUCCGGGGUGAAAUCCCCCCGCUCAACGGGGGAACGGCCUCGGAUACUUUCGGCCUGGAGGGGGGUAGGGGCGGGCGGAACUGUGGGUGGAGCGGUGAAAUGCGUUGAGAUCCACAGGAACUCCGGUGGCGAAGGCGGCCCGCUGGACCCUUACUGACGCUGAGGCGCGAAAGCCAGGGGAGCGAACGGG
RNAcentral lists this ribosomal RNA (739 nucleotides) under uncultured bacterium. RNAcentral's name for it is "bacterial SSU rRNA". It matches the Rfam family "Bacterial small subunit ribosomal RNA", at positions 8 to 776 of the family's 1533-position model. The record is from RNAcentral.